RNAcentral lists this ribosomal RNA (377 nucleotides) under uncultured eukaryote. RNAcentral's name for it is "partial 18S ribosomal RNA". It matches the Rfam family "Eukaryotic small subunit ribosomal RNA", at positions 592 to 976 of the family's 1831-position model. The record is from RNAcentral.
CAAUAGCGUAUAUUAAAGUUGUUGCAGUUAAAAAGCUCGUAGUUGGAUUUCGGGGCAGCCUGGCUGGUCCGCCGCAAGGCGAGUACUGGUCAGCCGCCCUUCCUCUCGAAAGCCCCGACUGCUCUUCGUUGCAGUGGUCGGGUAGUUCGGGACGUUUACUUUGAAAAAAUUAGAGUGUUCAAGGCAGGCCUACGCCUGAAUACAUUAGCAUGGAAUAAUGGAAGAGGACCUCGGUCCUAUUUUGUUGGUUUCCAGGGCCGAAGUAAUGAUUAAGAGGGACAGUUGGGGGCAUUCGUAUUUAAUUGUCAGAGGUGAAAUUCUCGGAUUUAUGAAAGACGAACAACUGCGAAAGCGUUUGCCAAGGAUGUUUUCAUUAA